RNAcentral lists this ribosomal RNA (516 nucleotides) under uncultured bacterium. Its description in RNAcentral is "partial 16S ribosomal RNA". It matches the Rfam family "Bacterial small subunit ribosomal RNA", at positions 28 to 523 of the family's 1533-position model. The record is from RNAcentral.
GACGAACGCUGGCGGCAUUCCUAAUACAUGCAAGUCGAGCGGACUUGAUGAGAAGCUUGCUUCUCAGAUAGUUAGCGGCGGACGGGUGAGUAACACGUAGGCAACCUGCCCUCAAGCUUGGGACAACUACCGGAAACGGUAGCUAAUACCGAAUACUUGUUUUCUUCGCCUGAAGGAAACUGGAAAGACGGAGUAAUCUGUCACUUGGGGAUGGGCCUGCGGCGCAUUAGCUAGUUGGUGAGGUAACGGCUCACCAAGGCGACGAUGCGUAGCCGACCUGAGAGGGUGAUCGGCCACACUGGGACUGAGACACGGCCCAGACUCCUACGGGAGGCAGCAGUAGGGAAUCGUCCGCAAUGGGCGAAAGCCUGACGGAGCAAUGCCGCGUGAGUGAUGAAGGUUUUCGGAUCGUAAAGCUCUGUUGCCAGGGAAGAACGCUUGGGAGAGUAACUGCUCCCAAGGUGACGGUACCUGAGAAGAAAGCCCCGGCUAACUACGUGCCAGCCGCCGCCGUAA